RNAcentral lists this ribosomal RNA (486 nucleotides) under uncultured bacterium. Its description in RNAcentral is "partial 16S ribosomal RNA". It matches the Rfam family "Bacterial small subunit ribosomal RNA", at positions 28 to 507 of the family's 1533-position model. The record is from RNAcentral.
GACGAACGCUGGCGGCGUGCUUAACACACGCAAGUCGAACGCUGAAGACCUGGCUUUUGUUGGGUUGGAUGAGUGGCGAACGGGUGAGUAACACGUGAGUAACCUGCCCUCUUCUUUGGGAUAACGCCCGGAAACGGGUGCUAAUACUGGAUAUUCACUGGCCUUCGCAUGGGGGUUGGUGGAAAGGUUUGUUCUGGUGGGGGAUGGGCUCGCGGCCUAUCAGCUUGUUGGUGGGGUGAUGGCCUACCAAGGCUUUGACGGGUAGCCGGCCUGAGAGGGUGACCGGUCACAUUGGGACUGAGAUACGGCCCAGACUCCUACGGGAGGCAGCAGUGGGGAAUAUUGCACAAUGGGCGAAAGCCUGAUGCAGCGACGCCGCGUGAGGGAUGGAGGCCUUCGGGUUGUAAACCUCUUUCGCUCAUGGUCAAGCCGCAACUGUGGGUUGUGGUGAGGGUAGUGGGUAAAGAAGCGCCGGCUAACUACGUG